ACUAGGGAUCUUGUGACCUCAAAUUUGAUGUAUCACUCGCACCUUACGAUNAAUCAAAGUCUUUGGNUUCUGGGUGGAGUAUGUUCUCAAGGCUGANACUUAAAGGNAUUGACGGAAGGGCACCACCAGGUGUGGAGCCUNCGGCUUAAUUUGACUCAACACGGGGAAACUCACCAGGUCCAGACAUAACUAGGAUUGACAGAUUGAUAGCUCUUUCAUGAUUUUAUGG
This 229-nucleotide ribosomal RNA is filed under the name uncultured fungus. RNAcentral's name for it is "partial 18S ribosomal RNA". It matches the Rfam family "Eukaryotic small subunit ribosomal RNA", at positions 1045 to 1273 of the family's 1831-position model. The record is from RNAcentral. Lineage: Eukaryota; Fungi.